AAAAGUCUACCAUUAUUUGCAGUUCUCCAGUAGACUGUUCUUACUGCUUGUUUACCAGCAACGUAACUUAUUGCUCCACCAAUCAGCAUCUAAACGGAACAACAAAAAAAAAAACUUGUCUGGCAGUAUUUAUUGGUGAAUAUGAUACAAGAGGAAAAUGUAUUCUUGGAUAAGGAACAAGAUUUGUUUGAAACUCUUCCAGUCCAACAUUAAUAGAUCCUUCAAAUCUCAAUGAUGCUGUUAUUGCUGAAACAACCUGUGCCAAUAAUCUAUUGAGAUUAGUAUGUCAUACAGUGCCUCAUUGUCAACUACAAAGCAACAAUCUUCAAAAUCUAGAGUUCCAUGAGUUGUCAUAACGGCAUUAUAAGGUUCAACAACUGAUGUUGAUAUAUGAGGUG
Long non-coding RNA from Aphidius gifuensis, 398 nucleotides. RefSeq lists it as uncharacterized. The record is from RefSeq and is a predicted model, not a curated record. The transcript has 3 exons. Lineage: Eukaryota; Metazoa; Arthropoda; Insecta; Hymenoptera; Braconidae.